GUGCUGCUGUACAGAUGUAAGUUCAUACAGAUUUACAAAUAGGCCUUUUUCGUGCAUCUCCUGUGACGCGUGUUGUCUCCCUUUUGUAGAAUGGAGCAGGUUGUCAACGAGUUGCGGGCGCUCAUGGGAUGGUCGACCGAGCCAAGUUGGUAGCGUGAAUUGGAACGAGAUCUCAUUGUGCUGGGUUCCGUAGGUGCCAGCUUCACAAGUUGGGCCUUAUUGGUCGUUCCAAAAAAGAAAUGGAUGAAACGGAUGCAGGUCGGAUCUUUAGGUCACUCUUCUCCUCUCGUGAAAGCAAACUCGAGCUUCCUCCAACGCGACCGCCGCCUCCGGUCUUGUCAAUGUGGCUGUCAGUGACGCUCGAGAUCUGCAACUAUUCGUCGUGGUCAAGGUCAUCUCCCCUUUCGCCAAUCACCAUUCUUCAUCGUAGUCGUAUAGUCGUGGUACCCCAACCCGUCAUCGGGGUUACUGUGUUCAGUAGCGCUCUGCCCGCUGUCCCUCAUCGUACUCGUCAUCCAUCGUGCUUGUGAGUCAAAGGUAAGAGCUGCUCUGCCCACCGAUUGAUUAGCUUUGGCAUCUAGUAACUGUAUUCAUCUGGUAACCCUUGGAAUAUACAAUUAUUUAAACAAAUUGGAAUAUACAAUUAUCAGUUGACAUAUAUACCUUGUAGGGUCCCUUGAAUUCUAUGGCUCCUAGCCAUGAUGAGUUUUUUGGAACUCAACAAAGCAUUCAUGAGCGGGUAGAGUACUUUUUGUUUUAUUUUUAAUUUUCAAUGAAAUUGUUUGGAAGUUAAUGACUAAACUAACUUUAACAUGAUAGCUUUUUGCUGAUUUUUGUCAUUGGUUCAUGUAAAGAGGGCAACUAGAAUUCUGGCCUGCUACUUCUUUUGGAUAUAGCCUUCAGGAAAAUAAAAAGUCAAAAACCGAUGAUUGCGAAGAAAAAAAAUUUGGAAAAAGGAAAAAGAAAAAGAAGUUGUUCAUGUUGUUGUGCUGUUCUGAGUUUGACAAUUGGCACUGUGUGAGAGAGCAACAGCUCGUGCCCCGUCUCCCGUCUGAAACUAAGGUGGCACCUUACCUCUCUUCGUUUCCAGUCUCAAAUUCAGAUCUACCGUUUCAACCAGCAUAGUUAGUAUAUAGUGAUAUGGUGUUAGAAAUAAACUUGUCAAUAAUAUAACAAGCAAUGGUAAAACUUGUUGCCAAGAAGCAAUAGCUAAAAUGGGAUAGUCUCCUCAUACUCAAUUAAGAGGUUGUGAAUUCGAGUCUCCAUAUCUUCGGUAAAAAAAAUGGUAAAACUUGUUGGUGUUACCUAAUGUAAUCUUACUAGUACUUACCCUGUUGUAAUUUUUGAUGGUUACAUGAUAAUUGUUUGAAUCUUUGUACAUAUUAUUAUCUAUGGACUAGAUUGCACUUAAUAAGUGCGAUACUAUUCUUUA
Non-coding RNA from Arachis ipaensis, 1432 nucleotides. Lineage: Eukaryota; Viridiplantae; Streptophyta; Magnoliopsida; Fabales; Fabaceae. The record is from RefSeq and is a predicted model, not a curated record.